RNAcentral lists this ribosomal RNA (180 nucleotides) under Escherichia coli. RNAcentral's name for it is "partial 16S ribosomal RNA". It matches the Rfam family "Bacterial small subunit ribosomal RNA", at positions 1 to 174 of the family's 1533-position model. The record is from RNAcentral. Lineage: Bacteria; Pseudomonadati; Pseudomonadota; Gammaproteobacteria; Enterobacterales; Enterobacteriaceae.
AAAUUGAAGAGUUUGAUCAUGGCUCAGAUUGAACGCUGGCGGCAGGCCUAACACAUGCAAGUCGAACGGUAACAGGAAACAGCUUGCUGUUUUGCUGACGAGUGGCGGACGGGUGAGUAAUGUCUGGGAAACUGCCUGAUGGAGGGGGAUAACUACUGGAAACGGUAGCUAAUACCGCAU